AUCGAACGCUGGCGGCAGGCCUAACACAUGCAAGUCGAGCGAGGACUUCGGUUCUAGCGGCGGACGGGUGAGUAACGCGUGGGAAUGUGCCCUUCUCUACGGAAUAGCCCUGGGAAACUGGGAGUAAUACCGUAUACGCCCUUUUGGGGAAAGAUUUAUCGGAGAAGGAUCAGCCCGCGUUGGAUUAGGUAGUUGGUGGGGUAAUGGCCUACCAAGCCGACGAUCCAUAGCUGGUUUGAGAGGAUGAUCAGCCACACUGGGACUGAGACACGGCCCAGACUCCUACGGGAGGCAGCAGUGGGGAAUCUUAGACAAUGGGGGCAACCCUGAUCUAGCCAUGCCGCGUGAGUGAUGAAGGCCUUAGGGUUGUAAAGCUCUUUCAGCUGGGAAGAUAAUGACGGUACCAGCAGAAGAAGCCCCGGCUAACUCCGUG
Molecule: ribosomal RNA, 433 nt
Filed under: uncultured bacterium
Lineage: Bacteria
Description: partial 16S ribosomal RNA
Rfam family: Bacterial small subunit ribosomal RNA
Source: RNAcentral